RNAcentral lists this ribosomal RNA (483 nucleotides) under uncultured Vibrio sp. RNAcentral describes it as "bacterial SSU rRNA". It matches the Rfam family "Bacterial small subunit ribosomal RNA", at positions 8 to 472 of the family's 1533-position model. Lineage: Bacteria; Pseudomonadati; Pseudomonadota; Gammaproteobacteria; Vibrionales; Vibrionaceae. The record is from RNAcentral.
AGAGUUUGAUCAUGGCUCAGAUUGAACGCUGGCGGCAGGCCUAACACAUGCAAGUCGAGCGGAAACGAGUUCUCUGAACCUUCGGGGAACGUGAACGGCGUCGAGCGGCGGACGGGUGAGUAAUGCCUGGGAAAUUGCCCUGAUGUGGGGGAUAACCAUUGGAAACGAUGGCUAAUACCGCAUAAUAGCUUCGGCUCAAAGAGGGGGACCUUCGGGCCUCUCGCGUCAGGAUAUGCCCAGGUGGGAUUAGCUAGUUGGUGAGGUAAGGGCUCACCAAGGCAACGAUCCCUAGCUGGUCUGAGAGGAUGAUCAGCCACACUGGAACUGAGACACGGUCCAGACUCCUACGGGAGGCAGCAGUGGGGAAUAUUGCACAAUGGGCGCAAGCCUGAUGCAGCCAUGCCGCGUGUAUGAAGAAGGCCUUCGGGUUGUAAAGUACUUUCAGCAGUGAGGAAGGUUCAUNNGUUAAUAGCGUAGGAUUGA